Molecule: long non-coding RNA, 537 nt
Filed under: Olea europaea (common olive)
Lineage: Eukaryota; Viridiplantae; Streptophyta; Magnoliopsida; Lamiales; Oleaceae
Description: long non-coding RNA (OEUR_LNC010200)
Source: RNAcentral
GAUUGUUAAAUGCAGAGAUAAAGAAGAAAAGUACAAUUUAAGAGGCCAUUCAUGGGAUACGAGUGUAAAUCAAAGAAUUGUUGCCUUGGAGUGGGAGUUUGGUAUUGAAUAUUAUUGUCUUGGAGCUUAAUGGGUUGGAGAAACGAUGAUUCUGGCGAAUCUGAAAUGGCUGAGCCAUCGUGACCCAACUCAAUGCCGCUAUCUCCGUGUAUGGAAACACCGUUGUUGCUGCUGUUGAUGCUACUGCCGAUGAUGACGCUCUCCAUGUGGCUGAAGAGAUUUCUCAAUGGCUUUAACUGUAGCCAUGUUUGGAGCUGCCCAAUUAUUUAAAGAAGGGGACAAAUUCGUCAUCUCACGUGGUUUGAAUGGCCAAAAUGGAUGGAAUACGAGUUUUGGUUAAUUUUCGAAAGGUUGAGAUUGUUUGGUGCCAAAAAAAGGUUGAGGUGGAUUAGUAACAUAUUGCAAAGAUCGGAAACAAAUAGUGCCAAUUUCACAAAAAAUAAUGGUUGUACAAGAAUACUUUUUGUUAUAUAAAAA